This is a long non-coding RNA of Anthonomus grandis grandis, 505 nucleotides long. RefSeq lists it as uncharacterized. Lineage: Eukaryota; Metazoa; Arthropoda; Insecta; Coleoptera; Curculionidae. The transcript is spliced from 2 exons. The record is from RefSeq and is a predicted model, not a curated record.
GACAGUUGACAUUUUUAAUUAGAUGCGCAUUGUUCUAAUUCAAGUUCAUUAUUUUAAAUUGCUUUUGUUGUAUUUUUUGGGUGUGUUUUUAUUGUUAAAAUGACUUACACCAGUGCGGAGGCUGCAUAUGACUUACUCACUGUAUAUUUUCACUCUUUUGAAAAUGCUCCUAUUGCAGCAUGUGAAUAUACUAAACGGAGGCAUUAUAGCAGAAAAGUAUUGCGACUUGCAAUACAUUUAAGGAAAAGAAGAAGUGUACAUCCCCUUCAUGUUCCAAUUAGAAGGCGUUCGCGAGAGGAAUCGCUCAGCAAAGAUCUAAGAAUCAUCAAACAUCUAAGAAUUAUUCAUCCUUCAGUGUUUCGAAUUUUAUCCUUACAACAAGCUGUAUCAGAAAAUGAAUUUGACAAACCACUCGACCAUGGUUAUUGGCUUAGAGAAAUGUGCAGCGAAAAACUCCAGUUCCUUUUUCAAAUUUGAUGGACUGAUAAAGCUAGUUUUUCUAGUU